GAUGAACGCUGGCGGCGUGCCUAAUACAUGCAAGUCGAGCGAACAGACGAGGAGCUUGCUCCUCUGACGUUAGCGGCGGAGGGGUGAGUAACACGUGGAUAACCUACCUAUAAGACUGGGAUAAUUUCGGGAAACCGGAGCUAAUACCGGAGAAUAUAUUGAACCGCAUGGUUCAAUAGUGAAAGACGGCUUUGCUGUCACUUAUAGAUGGAUCCGCGCCGCAUUAGGUAGUUGGGAAGGUAACGGCUUACCAAGGCAACGAUGCGUAGCCGACCUGAGAGGGUGAUCGGCCACACUGGAACUGGAACACGGACCAGACUCCUACGGGAGGCAGCAGUAGGGAAUCUUCCGCAGUGGGCGAAAGCCUGGCGGAGCAACGCCGCGUGAGUGAUGACGGUCUUCGGAUCGUAAAACUCUGUUAUUAGGGAAGAACAAAUGUGUAAGUAACUAUGCACUUCUUGACGGUACCUAGUCAGAAAGCCACGGCUAACUACGUG
RNAcentral lists this ribosomal RNA (497 nucleotides) under uncultured bacterium. RNAcentral's name for it is "partial 16S ribosomal RNA". It matches the Rfam family "Bacterial small subunit ribosomal RNA", at positions 28 to 507 of the family's 1533-position model. The record is from RNAcentral.